UACGGAGGGAGCAAGCGGUGUUCGGAAUUACUGGGCGUAAAGGGCGCGUAGGCGGUAUAAUAAGUUAGGUGUGAAAUCUUCGGGCUUAACCCGGAAAGUGCACUUAAAACUGUUAUACUAGAGUUCGGGAGGGGAAAGCGGAAUUCCUAGUGUAGAGGUGAAAUUUGUAGAUAUUAGGAAGAACACCGGUGGCGAAGGCGGCUUUCUGGAACGAUACUGACGCUGAGGCGCGAAAGCGUGGGGAGAAAGCAGG
Molecule: ribosomal RNA, 253 nt
Filed under: uncultured bacterium
Lineage: Bacteria
Description: partial 16S ribosomal RNA
Rfam family: Bacterial small subunit ribosomal RNA
Source: RNAcentral